RNAcentral lists this long non-coding RNA (1272 nucleotides) under Equus caballus (horse). RNAcentral's name for it is "lncRNA (ENSECAG00000047236.1)". Lineage: Eukaryota; Metazoa; Chordata; Mammalia; Perissodactyla; Equidae. The record is from RNAcentral.
UCCCUGAGUUGUGGAAAGCCGCCCAGCCUUCUGAGCUGGGGGCCCGCAGGGUUAGCUCUGGUUGCUCUGGGCACUUGUGGGAGAGCAGGGUCAGAGCGGAGGGCAGCAGUUGGGGGCUGAAUGAUGGUGCCCACUCCUGCACACCCCGCGGUGGGCGAGGCCGCCCCUGCCUCCCUCUCCAAGGAGCCGACCACGAAGUCCGAGAAGCAGAGAGGGGAGAUGGGGAGGGAAUGGCAGUGGGGCUGCAGGGCACGCUCGGGUCAGCACUAACCGCUGGUGUAAAGGGACGAGUGGCCACUUCUGGCGGAACAACAGGCGGCGGUGGAAGGCAGCGCUCAGGCCGUCAGCGGGCCUGCGGGGGACGCACUCACCGAGGACCAGCAGCACUUUCCAGCUAGGCGCCCGAUGCGCACGGCAGAGCUCAGGGUCCGGCAGCGCCUCAAAGGCCUGCACCCGGGGCUCUGGCCCCGCCCGAGUACACGUGCGCGUCAGGCCCCGCCCCCAGGCGCCCUGGCCCCGCCCCUCGCUCAACCACCGCGCUUCCCGUGGACCCUGAUGCGGUGAUCUCAGGAGACCCCCAGCUGCUGCGGUUCCUGGCUGAGUGAGGCCAGGCCCUCAGGCUCCAGCAUGGCCCUGCAAGACCACUGCUGCACCCCUGCGGCUGUGCAGAGGAGGCUGCCCAUCCUGGCCUGGCGGUUGGACUCUGAAGAUGGACUUCAUCACUGGACUUUCAGUGGGGCUCAAGGUCAUUCCCCACGCACUGGCCUGUGCUGAGGUGACCUGACUCCUGCCCCAGUGUGGCUUCUACUCUGCCUUCAUGGGUGCUUCGUGUAGUUCUUCCUGGUCACCUUCUGGCAUGUUACCCUGAGCCCGCCUGUGCUGUGCUACUGGCUUUCCUGUGGGGCUGCAUGCAGUUAGCCAUGGGGUCCCUGUGCUUGGGGUUCCUGCUGUACUUCGUCUCCUGUGCCAUCAUUAAAGGUUUCACCUCUGCUGCUACCAUCACCGUGGACUUCGGGCAGAUCCAGUUUGAUCCUGAAGGCAUCUGUCACUUCUGGAAUCCACUACAACGACGAGGAGGAGAGUCACUUCAAUGCCUAUGAAAUGGAACCUUCAGGAGUUUUUAGUUAUAAAUCUUGGAAUCUGGAAGAUUCAAUUCAUGAUUGCAAAAUAUUUAUUUCCUAAUAUUUUGUUUUGUCAUAAACUGAUGCUUUUGAAAGAGAUCUCAUUAAUUGGACUGUUUCACGUCUCUCUGGGGUGGAGCAGUAAUAAACG